RNAcentral lists this ribosomal RNA (416 nucleotides) under uncultured bacterium. RNAcentral's name for it is "bacterial SSU rRNA". It matches the Rfam family "Bacterial small subunit ribosomal RNA", at positions 951 to 1363 of the family's 1533-position model. The record is from RNAcentral.
ACGGGGGGAACGCGAAGAACCUUACCAAAUCUUGACAUCCUUUGACAACUCUAGAGAUAGAGCCUUCCCCUUCGGGGGACAAAGUGACAGGUGGUGCAUGGUUGUCGUCAGCUCGUGUCGUGAGAUGUUGGGUUAAGUCCCGCAACGAGCGCAACCCUUAAGCUUAGUUGCCAUCAUUAAGUUGGGCACUCUAAGUUGACUGCCGGUGACAAACCGGAGGAAGGUGGGGAUGACGUCAAAUCAUCAUGCCCCUUAUGAUUUGGGCUACACACGUGCUACAAUGGACAAUACAAAGGGCAGCGAAACCGCGAGGUCAAGCAAAUCCCAUAAAGUUGUUCUCAGUUCGGAUUGUAGUCUGCAACUCGACUACAUGAAGCUGGAAUCGCUAGUAAUCGUAGAUCAGCAUGCUAUAUUCU